AGCUUGCUCUUAUGAAGUUAGCGGCGGACGGGUGAGUAACACGUGGGUAACCUGCCCAUAAGACUGGGAUAACUCCGGGAAACCGGGGCUAAUACCGGAUAACAUUUUGAACCGCAUGGUUCGAAAUUGAAAGGCGGCUUCGGCUGUCACUUAUGGAUGGACCCGCGUCGCAUUAGCUAGUUGGUGAGGUAACGGCUCACCAAGGCAACGAUGCGUAGCCGACCUGAGAGGGUGAUCGGCCACACUGGGACUGAGACACGGCCCAGACUCCUACGGGAGGCAGCAGUAGGGAAUCUUCCGCAAUGGACGAAAGUCUGACGGAGCAACGCCGCGUGAGUGAUGAAGGCUUUCGGGUCGUAAAACUCUGUUGUUAGGGAAGAACAAGUGCUAGUUGAAUAAGCUGGCACCUUGACGGUACCUAACCAGAAAGCCACGGCUAACUACGUGCCAGCAGCCGCGGUAAUACGUAGGUGGCAA
RNAcentral lists this ribosomal RNA (477 nucleotides) under Bacillus cereus. RNAcentral's name for it is "bacterial SSU rRNA". It matches the Rfam family "Bacterial small subunit ribosomal RNA", at positions 77 to 537 of the family's 1533-position model. Lineage: Bacteria; Bacillati; Bacillota; Bacilli; Caryophanales; Bacillaceae. The record is from RNAcentral.